This 467-nucleotide ribosomal RNA is filed under the name uncultured bacterium. Its description in RNAcentral is "bacterial SSU rRNA". It matches the Rfam family "Bacterial small subunit ribosomal RNA", at positions 34 to 507 of the family's 1533-position model. The record is from RNAcentral.
CGCUGGCGGCGUGCUUAACACAUGCAAGUCGAGCGGAAAGGCCCUUUCGGGGGUACUCGAGCGGCGAACGGGUGAGUAACACGUGAGUAAUCUGCCCUUGGCUUUGGGAUAACUACCGGAAACGGUGGCUAAUACCGGAUAUGACCAUGCUCGGCAUCGGGUGUGGUGGAAAGUUUUUUCGGCCAGGGAUGUGCUCGCGGCCUAUCAGCUUGUUGGUGGGGUAAUGGCCUACCAAGGCUUCGACGGGUAGCCGGCCUGAGAGGGUGACCGGCCACACUGGGACUGAGACACGGCCCAGACUCCUACGGGAGGCAGCAGUGGGGAAUAUUGGACAAUGGGCGGAAGCCUGAUCCAGCAACGCCGCGUGAGGGAUGACGGCCUUCGGGUUGUAAACCUCUUUCAGUACCGACGAAGCGCCGAUGAUGGUGGUGACGGUAGGUACAGAAGAAGCACCGGCCAACUACGUG